AACGAACGCUGGCGGCAUGCCUAACACAUGCAAGUCGAACGAGACCUUCGGGUCUGGUUGCUCACUGGUGCGUCACGCGUCGGACCCUUCCCUUAGGUUCGGCAUAACUCCCCGAAAUGGGUGCUAAUACCGGAUAAUUUCUUCUGACCAAAGAUUUAUCGCCGUUGGAUGAGCCCGCGUUGGUUUAACUAUUUGGUAGUGUAAAAGCCUACCACGGCGAAGAUCCAUAGCUGGUCUGAGAGGAUGAGCAGCCACACUUGGACUGAGACACGGCCCAGAAUCCUACGGGAGGCAGCAGUGGGGAAUAGUGGACAAUGGGCGAAAGCCUGAACCAGCAAGGCCGCGUGAGUGAUGAAGGCCUUAGGGUUGUAAAGCUCGUUUACCCGGGAUGAUAAUGACAGUACCGGGAGAAUAAGCUCCGGCUAACUCCGUG
This 433-nucleotide ribosomal RNA is filed under the name uncultured bacterium. RNAcentral's name for it is "partial 16S ribosomal RNA". It matches the Rfam family "Bacterial small subunit ribosomal RNA", at positions 29 to 507 of the family's 1533-position model. The record is from RNAcentral.